This 253-nucleotide unclassified non-coding RNA is filed under the name uncultured Rickettsiales bacterium. Its description in RNAcentral is "contains 16S-23S intergenic spacer region". It matches the Rfam family "Bacterial small subunit ribosomal RNA", at positions 524 to 776 of the family's 1533-position model. The record is from RNAcentral. Lineage: Bacteria; Pseudomonadati; Pseudomonadota; Alphaproteobacteria; Rickettsiales.
UACGAAGGGUGCUAGCGUUGUUCGGAAUCACUGGGCGUAAAGCGCGCGUAGGCGGUGACACAAGUCAGGGGUGAAAUCCUAAGGCUCAACCUUAGAAUUGCCUUUGAAACUAGGUUGCUGGAGUGUCGGAGGGGAUAGCGGAAUUGCUAAUGUAGCGGUGAAAUGCGUAGAUAUUAGCAGGAACACCGGUGGCGUAGGCGGCUAUCUGGACGACAACUGACGCUGAGGCGCGAAAGCGUGGGGAUCAAACAGG